GACGAACGCUGGCGGCAUGCCUAAUACAUGCAAGUCGAGCGAACAGAUGAAGUGCUUGCACUUCUGACGUUAGCGGCGAACGGGUGAGUAACACGUAAGGAAUCUACCUAUAAGCGGGGGAUAACAUUCGGAAACGGGUGCUAAUACCGCAUAAUAUCUUCUUCCGCAUGGAAGAAGAUUGAAAGACGGCUGUGCUUUCACUUAUAGAUGACCUUGCGGUGCAUUAGUUAGGUGGUGGGGUAACGGCCUACCAAUACGAUGGUGCAUAGCCGACCUGAGAGGGUGAUCGGCCACAUUGGGACUGAGACACGGCCCAAACUCCUACGGGAGGCAGCAGUAGGGAAUCUUCCGCAAUGGGCGAAAGCCUGGCGGAGCAAUGCCGCGUGAGUGAAGAAGGCCUUCGGGUCGUAAAACUCUGUUAUAAGAGAAGAACAAAUUGUAGAGUAACUGCUACAGUCUUGACGGUAUCUUAUCAGAAAGCCACGGCUAACUACGUGCCAGCCGCCGCCGUAA
RNAcentral lists this ribosomal RNA (513 nucleotides) under uncultured bacterium. RNAcentral's name for it is "partial 16S ribosomal RNA". It matches the Rfam family "Bacterial small subunit ribosomal RNA", at positions 28 to 523 of the family's 1533-position model. The record is from RNAcentral.